CUUUUAUUCAUCUGUAAAAAUGGUUAUUACAGAUACUCCUGUAAUUAAUACAACUACAAGAUAACAACCAAGUAAAAGUUUUUGUUGCUUUUGUUUUAAAUCAACCAUGAUUUUUAACUGUGUUAGAAUGGACUACAAUUACAGCCAUGACAGGCUGAAUGUUUGUGGAAUGCCGCUGUAGAAGGUAGGCACCGUUAGGUUGGUUCUUGGUUGCUCCAUCCUUACAGCUGACUAAUACAGUCCUCUACAGGUUUUGUCAAAUAAAGCAGCCUGAAAAUAUGAAUAUAUAUAUAGUAACAUAUAAGACUAAGAAUGAACAUAAAAAUAAGAAGGAAAUAUGCAAUGGGGCAAGAGGGAGAGAUGAAAGAGAAAACUGGAAAGAAAACAAGAACAUUGUAACUAAUACUUUAACGCUGUGGAGACUGAUGGUAAUUUAUCUGUCAUGACGUCACGUUGCAUUAGUGAAUUAACAUCAAUAAGUUAGAUAACAGGGGAAGCGGAGGAGAAGAAAAACAAUGUAGUGGAUUCUUAUAUGGAGUGGCGUCAAUCAACCAGGGAGUGGUGCUGAGGCUGAUCUGUUCAUCCACAGCGACCACAGCACGGGAGCCCUUCUGAAUGAAGAUCCACUGAAUGAGGAUCAGGACCUCAUGUCGCUCCGGAAUCUCUUUGGGGAACUGGUUGUUUACACUAAAGUCCGUUCCUUUCAGCUGCCUGUUCCUUCUGCUUGAAAUGUUGGAAUUUGGUCACAAUAGGACGCGGUCUUCAGGCAUCAUUCUUGCUGCCAGGCCAUGGACACAGUGGAAGGUGAUGUUCUUCAGCAUGUCCUGUGGAAGCUUCAGGUGGGUCCUGAUGAAGGUUUUAAUGGUAACUUCUGCGUCCUCUUCCGCAGAUUCCAGGAUGCCUGAAAACACCAGGGGAUAGUGUGGAAAUCGACCAUAGUGUCUUUUAUUAUUUUAAAAUCAUUAUUAUUUUACUUUCUUCACUGAGCUGGGUCACAUGACCAAGUCUCGUAGCGAGGCGUUUUCAGCAGUGAGUGUUUCCACCUGCUGCUGGCUGAACACCAAACAUUCCCUUACUGCUUUGGUGCGGUGCUCUUUGUCUGUUUGGCAUGCUGAAUAGAGGAGGAAACACGGUGCCGUUAUUAAUGUCACAGCCAAGGCCGACCUGGGAAAAAGACUCGAUAUGGAGAACACUCACGGAGGCACUGCAUGUCUUUAUCCUGUUUUCCUUCUCUCACCCCAACCGGUCGCAGCAGAUGGCCCCGCCCCUCCCUGAGCCUGGUUCUGCCGGAGGUUUCUUCCUGUUAAAAGGGAGUUUUUCCUUCCCACUGUCGCCAAAGUGCUUGCUCAUAGGGGGUCAUAUGAUUGUUGGGUUUUUCUCUGUAUGGAUUAUUGUAGGGUCUACCUUAUGAUAUAAAGCACCUUGAGGCGAA
Molecule: long non-coding RNA, 1432 nt
Organism: Oreochromis aureus
Lineage: Eukaryota; Metazoa; Chordata; Actinopteri; Cichliformes; Cichlidae
Source: Ensembl